AUGCGAAACGUAAUGCGAUUUGCAUGAAUCUGUGAGUCAUCAAGUCUUUGAACGCACCUUGCACCGAGUGAGCAAUCGCUCGGUAUACCUGUUUGAGAAUCGUAACCUUCUUUCAAUCCUCCCUUUGGGGGCGGUUGAAGACUUGUCGGUUGUAAUUCAUUGUCUUUGGAUUACUCUGAUUAAAUGUAGUAGGGUUGAAUCGGGCUGGUGGCCCGAGACACUGUGUGCUAGAGACAAAUCCGGCGGGAACGUUGGAAAGUCUUCUCACAGUGCGUCUCGGGUCAAUCCAAAGCUGGCCUGAUGAUACAGUCCUGAACGGUGCAGUCCUUGAGGCUGUACGUUAUUUCUCUCUUUGAUCUCAAAUCAGGUAAGGCUACCCGCUGAACUUAA
Molecule: unclassified non-coding RNA, 390 nt
Filed under: uncultured Rozellomycota
Lineage: Eukaryota; Fungi; Rozellomycota
Description: uncultured Cryptomycota partial contains 5.8S ribosomal RNA, internal transcribed spacer 2, and large subunit ribosomal RNA
Rfam family: 5.8S ribosomal RNA (bases 1-102)
Source: RNAcentral